Long non-coding RNA from Columba livia (rock pigeon), 2448 nucleotides. RefSeq lists it as uncharacterized. NCBI's taxonomy places the organism in Eukaryota, Metazoa, Chordata, Aves, Columbiformes, Columbidae. The transcript has 10 exons. The record is from RefSeq and is a predicted model, not a curated record.
CCUGCUGGGAACUUUAGUCUCCGGUGAGGGGCGCUGGCUCUGCGCGCAAGGCCUGAUGGGAAUUGUAGUUCUGCGGCUUUGCCUGAGGGGCCGGCGACCGAGCCUGGCCGAGCCGAGCCGAGCCGAGCCGAGCCUGGGCGCGUCGUGCGGGCCACGAAGCCACACCCUGUUAAAGCCCAGGCUUUGUGCCCUCCUUGGCUCGGGGUGCCGGUUCAGCCCGGCUCUGACCUGCCCUCACACCGCUGCAGCACCCAGCCUGUGGGGAACGACUUGACCCGCAGCCCGCGAGUCACCGGAGGGAGAACAGUCCGUGCAAACAGCUGGUUAAAGCACAGAACACAGGUGUAAAAGUCAUGUCUGGCUAUAAUAAGAUAUAAAAUACCCUGCUUUUAUUGCAAGGAACUCGUUAAAGAGAAGCAUUCUGUCUUCACGACUGUUCACUGGUCGUGGUGUAUCGACUGUGGUGAAUUUGGGCGAACUCUCCGGAUUCCUCCUGCAGGCCCUGCCAGGGAUUUCCACAAUAAAUGCAGCCCAGGAGCGCGGCUGGAGGAGCCCAGAGUGUGCACAGACACAGCACAGCCCAUCGGGCACAGCACACAGGGGACCCUCGGCUCCACUUCUCAAGAGAGACCAAGUCAGUUGAUGAAAAGCCAAGGAACGAUCACAUCCAUUAAAGCUGCCUCAGGAGGAUAUUAACUGUAUUAAGGUGCUUGCCAAGAAGCAUUGCAAGACUGCCUGCAAAUGGUGCUUGUGCUGGGUAUUGAACGGGAAUCUCAGCUCCCUGGGUAUAAUGAAAACAGUGAGAUACUUUCAUGGCUUCAGUCUCCUGAACAUCUCAGUGAAAUCUGUUUGAAUAUAAGAGCAUCCUGAACAGAUCAUCAAAUCUCGCAUCUUCUCACCAACAACAGACAAGCCCUGCCCUCCUUCCUUGCCCAUCAGGAACCAGCCCUGCGAAGCUUUACUUGUGGGUGCGAGUGAUGCAUAAACCAGGAUGCAACAGCAGCUUGGGCUGCUGGAGACCUCCAAAGAGAUGACUGGGGACACAGGGAGCUGAGCAUCCUGCACAGAGCCUUCCCUUGGCCAGUAUUUAAUGGCACUUUAUUUCCUUUUCAUUCAGUCUUCAUGAUAAUGUUUGUAAGUCAUUCUGGAUUUUUGGAGAGAAGAACAGUUUCUGAAGCAAGCAAGAUUGCUUUUUACAGCUGCAAAUGGUUUAUGUUGCCUGAUGACCAUCAGAGGAUUUAAUUUGUCAACAGACUACAAGUGGCCAAACCACCUCCAUCAGCUGCUGUGACAGAAUACAGUCAACAGGAAAAAUGCAGUUCAAUCUUUGGAGACUUAAAGUGCUCACUCAAAUGCACUGAACAAGAAGAAUGCUUCAGCUCCCAUCAGCUCCUGUCUUCUUUGGAAAUGCUGGCCUUGAGGUCUUCUGGCUCCUUUCCUUGACUUCCUACAUGUCGGGAUGCUCUGAUCUUGUGCCUGGCAGAAACAGUCCCUGAACACUGUAGAAGUGGCUCUACCUAAUGGUCUCAACCUAUGAUCCCAGUUUGUACUGCAUACAUGACUGAAGAAGAUCAUAGAUCUCAGUCUUUCCACAGUUUUGACAAAGCGGAUAAAUAAGUGGGAGAAACCAUUAAACCUUUCUCACAAUGGCCACCGAUGCUUUCUGUGUUACAACUACUAGCACCAAGUCAGUCUCCAGCCUCCCUGUAUACAUCAGCUUUGGGACAGUUUCCACUGUGACAACUUCCCGGGAAUUCUCAGUGACAUGACAAACAGUCGUAUUUUUCAUGUGACCAUUUAUUUAUGCACAGGAAUGGAACUGGCAUUUAGCAUCUCACCUGAGAUGGAAAAUUUUGAAAAUGAAAGGCUGUUUAAUAAUGGCCAAGACAAAUAAUUCUCCCAGAGCAUCUGUGACCACCGUCUGAAUACAGUCAAUACAACAUUCUCAUUCAGAGCCAUCGACUGGAAUCUCAGCUGGACUAGCUAAGCAAUGAAGCCAUUCUGGUUUACAUCAAGUGAAGAUCUGGCUUUAACGACAAGACUGAAUCAAAUGAAAGUCUUCAGUUUUUCUAAAUAAGCGUACACAUAAUGCUCACCUCUUUUUUUUGAGGGAUUGAACUGAUUGUCCAAAAUGCAAAUCUGCCAUAUAGGAGGUUUGGUUUUCAAAUCAUAUAACCUUAAAGCAUUAUUUUACUAUAUAGUGGGAUAAAUAUCUUUGGUUUGUGUAUUUGAGUUUUAAGUGAAUUUGUUCUCAUGAAAAUAAAGCCAACUACUUUUAUAUUCAAACAGCAUUGUCAGACCAAUAGUAAGAUCCUGCACUUUCGUUCUUCGCUCUGUUUAGAAACUGCUUAUAUACAAGAGGGUUCUAUGAAUAAUUACUUAUUAGAGGGUAAAAUUCCUAUAAUCUGGGCUUUGAAUUAUUAUUUUAUUUGCAUUUAUGUAGAUAAA